CCCCAAUCAUUCAGAAGACACAUGAGCUCAUUUGGCUACCCCUCGAUGGUAGCAAUACAAGGAUCUGUGAUGCUUACGAGACUACAGGUGUGGAUGUGGAGAAAUUUGUUAUGUGAAGAUAAGCUGCACAUGCCAUUCACUGUUGGCAAAUGUAAAGUAAUGAGGUGUCAAUUUCAAUGUGUCACCAACUGUGACACAUACAAGAAGCAUUGUGGUUGCAGUGCCUACGUGGAGGAAGCAGAAAUUUCAACAAUUCCAGUUCGCAAAAUUCAACAAU
This is a non-coding RNA of Chelonoidis abingdonii (Abingdon island giant tortoise), 277 nucleotides long. The record is from RefSeq and is a predicted model, not a curated record. NCBI's taxonomy places the organism in Eukaryota, Metazoa, Chordata, Testudines, Testudinidae.